RNAcentral lists this ribosomal RNA (641 nucleotides) under Oerskovia sp. I13A-00624. RNAcentral's name for it is "bacterial SSU rRNA". It matches the Rfam family "Bacterial small subunit ribosomal RNA", at positions 97 to 751 of the family's 1533-position model. Lineage: Bacteria; Bacillati; Actinomycetota; Actinomycetes; Micrococcales; Cellulomonadaceae. The record is from RNAcentral.
GGCGAACGGGUGAGUAACACGUGAGUAACCUGCCCCAGACUCUGGGAUAAGCCUUGGAAACGAGGUCUAAUACUGGAUAUGAGAUGCCCCUGCAUGGGGAGUGUCUGGAAAGAUUUAUCGGUCUGGGAUGGACUCGCGGCCUAUCAGCUUGUUGGUGGGGUAAUGGCCUACCAAGGCGACGACGGGUAGCCGGCCUGAGAGGGCGACCGGCCACACUGGGACUGAGACACGGCCCAGACUCCUACGGGAGGCAGCAGUGGGGAAUAUUGCACAAUGGGCGCAAGCCUGAUGCAGCGACGCCGCGUGAGGGAUGAAGGCCUUCGGGUUGUAAACCUCUUUCAGCAGGGAAGAAGCGCAAGUGACGGUACCUGCAGAAGAAGCGCCGGCUAACUACGUGCCAGCAGCCGCGGUAAUACGUAGGGCGCAAGCGUUGUCCGGAAUUAUUGGGCGUAAAGAGCUCGUAGGCGGUUUGUCGCGUCUGGUGUGAAAACUCAAGGCUCAACCUUGAGCUUGCAUCGGGUACGGGCAGACUAGAGUGCGGUAGGGGUGACUGGAAUUCCUGGUGUAGCGGUGGAAUGCGCAGAUAUCAGGAGGAACACCGAUGGCGAAGGCAGGUCACUGGGCCGCAACUGACGCUGAGG